RNAcentral lists this ribosomal RNA (352 nucleotides) under uncultured bacterium. RNAcentral's name for it is "bacterial SSU rRNA". It matches the Rfam family "Bacterial small subunit ribosomal RNA", at positions 72 to 422 of the family's 1533-position model. The record is from RNAcentral.
AAGUGGAGCAAUCCAUGAGUAAAGUGGCGACCGGGUGAGUAACACGUGACUAACCUACCUUCGAGUGGGGGAUAACCUAGGGAAACCUGGGCUAAUACCGCAUAACAUCUUUGGAGUGGAAAUUCCGGAGACCAAAGGAGCAAUUCGCUUGAAGAGGGGGUCGCGGCUGAUUAGCUAGUUGGCGGGGUAAUGGCCCACCAAGGCUUUGAUCGGUAGCCGGCCUGAGAGGGCGCACGGCCACACUGGAACUGAAACACGGUCCAGACUCCUACGGGAGGCAGCAGUGGGGAAUUUUGCGCAAUGGGGGAAACCCUGACGCAGCAACGCCGCGUGGAGGAUGAAGUCCCUUGGG